CCAAAACCCAUGCAGGAGCACACAGGUGAAUGUGAGCCUCAGCUCUGCUGAAAGUGAGUUACCCCUCUGGUGAUGGAGCACUGGCCAGAUGGAGGACCUGUGGUCUGCCUGUGGGAGGCCUAGAACAGAGAGAGCACAUAUAUUAAAGCUAAUUUUAGUUGCUUUUCAAAUCUAAGCUAUACUUUUAUAUGUACUUGGAUAUUUUAAAAGCCUAAAUUAGCAUUCAAAGAACUGCUGACAAUUUUGGAUCCAGAUUUUGGUUUUAUUUGUCUUCGUGAAAAACUAAGAAUGUGCUGUGUGAGUUUCCAAAUUGGUGCUUCAUUCGGGGGAGUAAUGCAUCAUCUGGGCACUGCACUUUGAAGAACAUCACCGGCUCAGCUCUGGGCUAUUUCCGUGGUGAAAUCAUGAAUCCACUCCGACUGAAGUCCAGCCCUGCAUCACUUUCAUCAGGCUGGGGUUUUAUACCAGUCUUGGAAGCACGGUAGAGCCUUUAUGAGUAAAACUAAACGGCUGAAGCAGAAAGGAAAUGUUGGAAGCUUACAACACAGAAAAUCAAAAGUUGCUGGUUGAUGAGUUUUUUGUACUCUGCGCUGGGUCUUUACAUGCCAUGUUCUACUGCAAGGGUAAAAGUGAUGGAGCAGAGUGAGUAUCCAUCUCACAGAAGAAUCGACAAGCAGGAGUGUCAUUGUGAUACAAACAAACGGGAAGCCGUGACACGAGAAGAAAACUUCCUGCCUCCUCUCCUGGCUGUGUUUGAAGAAGGAACCCCAACGUGGCAAAAUGAAGCAAAUUUCUCCCACUGGAAGUGUAGAAGUCUCACCCCUGUGCUGUUUGGAGCUGGGACCAGCUGUACAACCUGCUGUGUGGAGAGCUAGUCCUGGUGGAAGCCAGCUUCAUAAUGGGUGUUGUAUGAAUAAUAAAAGACUGUUGUAAAUGCA
RNAcentral lists this long non-coding RNA (938 nucleotides) under Anser brachyrhynchus (Pink-footed goose). Its description in RNAcentral is "lncRNA (ENSABRG00000009545.1)". The record is from RNAcentral. Lineage: Eukaryota; Metazoa; Chordata; Aves; Anseriformes; Anatidae.